GGCAGGCAUGGAUAAUGUUUGUCUAUCAGAAGAUCCCUGCAAAGUUCGACGCUCAGCUGUUCAUUUGCUCUAAACAUUUUACCGAAGACAGCUUUCAAAAUCUUGGACAGUUUAAAGCAGGAUUUGCCAAACUUCUUUUACUGAAACGAGGGGCUGUUCCGACCGUAAGGUCAUCACAACCGCAAGCUAGCACAUCACAAGAACAACAAGAACAACCACGAACAAAAGUUGCAGCAUGCCAAACAGAUCCUCCUUGUGUGGCAUCUCGCGGGACGCAGCUUUCUUUUACUACAUUGAGACCUCACCAACGAAGCAAAGGCAUACAGGCAACGCCGCAAUGCCAAAGUGUGGCAGUAGGCACAACGGCUCCUUCAGUCUCUGGGCCAUUCUCUUCAACUCCUUUGAAGGGUCAGAGGCCAGCAAAGAGACCUCGCCUUGAAUUUGAGGAGGAGGUGGAAGAUGUUUCCUCUGCAUGCACUGAUCCUCAAGAUUCCACAUACGAUCCUGCACAGUCUGCUACAAUGGAGACAGAAUCAUCUCAGCUUUUUACAUCACCAGUGACUUCAUAUGGCGAUGCAAAAUACAUUGUUUUUGAGCAAUGCCUCUUCAGCCUGUUCGAGAUCUGCCCUGUGUGCACAAGAACCUGUACAUUCCUGCCACGCAGAAGAGGGUCCUUCCUAGCGAUCGACCAACUAUGCCCUCACUGCAAGUUCUUCCGACAGUGGAAGAGUUAGCCAGUUAUUGGGAGCACCCCUGUGGGCAACCUUCAGCUGUCUGCUGCCAUUUACUUUUGUGGAGCUUCAUUUUCAAAGAUGAAAAAGGUUGUACCUUGCAGCUAUGCAUUUCAAUGAGAAUGCUCAGCGCCCACAACGGAAGACAGCCAAGGGGAAACUAAUGUACAGGCUUGUGUUUCCAAAGGCCAAAAGGGGAGGUUACACGGUCAAAAAAGUGAAGACAGAGCCAACGAUUUGCUAUGUCUUUAACCUGAUAAGUUCGAAGAGAUCGUCCAUGACUCCCUUCGUUAUGUGGAUGCCGUCCAGCAGAUUCCUGUGCCCCAAGACUUGUGUGCUCAGCUUCCCAGACCUUCCAGGGAGGAUGCUGUCGCUGAGCAUGUGUCACGGUUCAGUCGAGGGGGGGUCUGAACCCGACAUACUGCCCUGAUGUUUCCGGAAACUCCCUCCGUAUGCGCAGCACCACACAAGAGGGGAUCACAACACGGACACUUCGCCCAAGGAAACCCCAGCACCAGCUCACGAAAGAUCUGUAGGCCAAGUGUCUGCAUUGCCUUCAGAGAAAUCAGAGUGGAAAGGCACACUUUUUUACUAUUUAUUUUUUGAAUAUUUUAUAUUUUUGAGUAUAGCACUGUAUGAUUGUGUUGAAACAAAAUAAAGUUUGUCAUUUUAC
This is a long non-coding RNA of Alosa sapidissima (American shad), 1404 nucleotides long. RefSeq lists it as uncharacterized. The transcript has 6 exons. Lineage: Eukaryota; Metazoa; Chordata; Actinopteri; Clupeiformes; Clupeidae. The record is from RefSeq and is a predicted model, not a curated record.